UACGAAGGGGGCUAGCGUUGCUCGGAAUCACUGGGCGUAAAGGGUGCGUAGGUGGGCAGGUAAGUCAGUGGUGAAAUCCCCGAGCUUAACUUGGGAACUGCCAUUGAUACUAUUUGUCUUGAAUACUGUGGAGGUUAGCGGAAUAUGUCAUGUAGCGGUGAAAUGCUUAGAUAUGACAUAGAACACCAAUUGCGAAGGCAGCUGGCUACACAAAUAUUGACACUGAUGCACGAAAGCGUGGGGAUCAAACAGG
This 253-nucleotide ribosomal RNA is filed under the name uncultured bacterium. Its description in RNAcentral is "partial 16S ribosomal RNA". It matches the Rfam family "Bacterial small subunit ribosomal RNA", at positions 524 to 776 of the family's 1533-position model. The record is from RNAcentral.